Molecule: ribosomal RNA, 371 nt
Filed under: uncultured fungus
Lineage: Eukaryota; Fungi
Description: eukaryotic LSU rRNA
Rfam family: Eukaryotic large subunit ribosomal RNA
Source: RNAcentral
AUAUCAAUAAGCGGAGGAAAAGAAACUAACAAGGAUUCCCCUAGUAACUGCGAGUGAAGCGGGAAAAGCUCAAAUUUAAAAUCUGGCAGGUCCUUGUGGCCUGUCCGAGUUGUAAUCUAGAGAAGUAUCUAUCCGCGCUGGACCGUGUACAAGUCUCCUGGAAUGGAGCGUCAUAGAGGGUGAGAAUCCCGUCUUUGACACGGACUGCCAGGGCUUAUGUGAUGUGCUCUCAAAGAGUCGAGUUGUUUGGGAAUGCAGCUCUAAAUGGGUGGUAAAUUCCAUCUAAAGCUAAAUAUUGGCGAGAGACCGAUAGCGAACAAGUACCGUGAGGGAAAGAUGAAAAGAACUUUGGAAAGAGAGUUAAACAGUAC